UACGUAGGGUGCGAGCGUUAAUCGGAAUUACUGGGCGUAAAGCGUGCGCAGGCGGUUUCGUAAGUCAGAUGUGAAAGCCCCGGGCUCAACCUGGGAAUUGCGUUUGAAACUGCGAGGCUAGAGUGUGUCAGAGGGAGGUGGAAUUCCACGUGUAGCAGUGAAAUGCGUAGAGAUGUGGAGGAACACCGAUGGCGAAGGCAGCCUCCUGGGAUAACACUGACGCUCAUGCACGAAAGCGUGGGGAGCAAACAGG
This 253-nucleotide ribosomal RNA is filed under the name uncultured bacterium. RNAcentral's name for it is "partial 16S ribosomal RNA". It matches the Rfam family "Bacterial small subunit ribosomal RNA", at positions 524 to 776 of the family's 1533-position model. The record is from RNAcentral.